ACCUCCUACAAAGGCGCAAUUGCAUUGGCCUGCUUGCAAAUGCGUAAGAACUGGAGGAAAAGAAGUUGAAUGAUGUAUUUCAUGUUAACUACCUGCUCUUGCAGUUAGUGACUACGCAUUCAGACACUU
Small nucleolar RNA from Sinocyclocheilus anshuiensis, 129 nucleotides. The record is from Ensembl. Lineage: Eukaryota; Metazoa; Chordata; Actinopteri; Cypriniformes; Cyprinidae.